GCCUGGAUAGCUCAGUCAGUAGAGCGUGAGACUUUUAAUCUGAGCGUCCAGGGUUCAACUCCUUGUUCAGGCA
Molecule: non-coding RNA, 73 nt
Organism: Cheilinus undulatus (humphead wrasse)
Lineage: Eukaryota; Metazoa; Chordata; Actinopteri; Labriformes; Labridae
Source: the annotation of a RefSeq genome assembly